Molecule: transfer RNA, 87 nt
Filed under: Hyphomicrobiales bacterium
Lineage: Bacteria; Pseudomonadati; Pseudomonadota; Alphaproteobacteria; Hyphomicrobiales
Description: tRNA-Leu
Rfam family: tRNA
About the family: Transfer RNA (tRNA) molecules are approximately 80 nucleotides in length. Their secondary structure includes four short double-helical elements and three loops (D, anti-codon, and T loops).
Source: RNAcentral
GCGGACGUGGCGAAACAGGUAGACGCAAGGGACUUAAAAUCCCUCGGUCGUAAGGCUGUGCGGGUUCGACCCCCGCCGUCCGCACCA